This 3010-nucleotide long non-coding RNA is filed under the name Sus scrofa (pig). Its description in RNAcentral is "lncRNA (ENSSSCG00055029267.1)". Lineage: Eukaryota; Metazoa; Chordata; Mammalia; Artiodactyla; Suidae. The record is from RNAcentral.
GAUAGAGUUUUAGAAAUGGAAUUUUUAGAGCAAAAGAACAGAAGAUUUUAAAAGCUCACAUUGACAAAUUAUUUUACAGAAAGGAUGCCCAAAUUGACAGUUUCACCACCAGCAUGUGAGAGCCAUCAUUUUUAAGUGUUCUCUUAAGUAUGGAGUAUUAGCUUUAAAGAGUCUCUGCUGUGUAGGUAAAAAAGGCAUCUCAAAUUAAAAUGUGUAUUCUUCCUAUCUUAUUCACUAGAUCUCUUUCCUAAUUGUUUAGGUUUUAUAAAUGCCAAUAGAUAUUCCUCACAAAACUGUGCAGAUGGUAUAAACAAAACAGCAUACCUAAAACCUCCUGGAUUUUUGGUACAGAUAUAUUGUAGGUUUAAUACUUUAAAAAUGUGAUACUCUUUUGAAAUAUUAUUAAUGUCAAUAAAGUUUGAUGUUGGAAUUUCUUGGUUUUUUAAAAUUAUAAUUUGUCCUUCAAUGUAUGCCAUAGUUUUUCUAUAUGUCUUUUUAAUUUAAUAGUACUUAAUACAAGUAAUGAGCAUUACACUGAGGUAGGCAGAAUAAUACUCCCCACAGCUCUCCAUGUCCUAAUUCCUGCAACAUGUGCAUAUGUUACUAUAUAUAAGAAAGGGAAAUUGAGACUUCUGAUCUACAGGAAUAUGAUAAUAAAUUGGUGUUGUUUCAAAUCACUAAAUGUGUGGUAAUUCUUACAGCAGCAAUAGCAAACUAAUACAUAGACAGAUGCUUUUUUGUGAUUCAGUAUGGGCCUGGAAUAUUAACAUCUUCCUCAAUUCAUAAAAUUUUUUUCAUUAUCAUUCAAAUUUCAAAUGCUUUUUGCCAAAACAGUAAUUGAUGUAUUUACUGCAAUUAGGUUUUACAAUUAGAUUUUUUUUCUCAACUGACCUUAAUAAUAUAAAACAGAUGUUUACUUAUUAAUGACUUUACAUUUUUAAUGCACAUUACUUGUGAUAUUCAUUUUAUGUACUAAUCAAAAUCCAUUACUUUUAUUACUUCAGUUGCCUUUGUAGGAUUGGCUCACAGCCUUUAUUUUAAUUCCUCAACAUUUUUACUGGAUAAAAUUGAAAUAUAGGAUAACACUCAUAUUUUUCUCCUCCAGUGAAUCAGCCCAAAUUAUUUUUCACAUGAAUAUUUCUGUUAAAAGGUCUGUGGUAUUUGGACCUCUUCAUGGUCUGAAUUUCUUUAAAAGUCUGUGCUAGUAGAUUUAUUUAUUCAGUAAACAUUUAUUGAGCGAUGUAAUAUGCCAAGUUUUUUGUAAAAUGUUGAUUAUGUAGGUAUUCUAUUCAUUCCUCUCCUUUUAAGGAGGUCACAGUUUUUUCAAGACUAUGUGCAAGAGUAGGAUAAUGGCAGGCUAGACUUAUCAUCAAUUUGCAAAAAACAAAAAUAAAAACACACACACAUAGGGAGCCCAUUAUCUUUCCCCUGAAUGACUAUAAAGUUUUAUCUGAUCUGCCAACUUCCUCCCUGGUCCCACUUAAUCUAUUCCUGAAACAGAAAUCAGGGUAGUUCAUUUAAACAUAAGUCAAAUCAUGACAUUCCUCUGCUCAAAUGCCCCCAGUGGCUUUUCAACUCACUAACAGUAAGUGCUGGUGUCCUCAGGCUGACAAGGUGAAAGGCCCCACAUGCCUGCCUAUCUCUCAUCACUACACUGCUUCUGCUCACCCAGCUCCAGGCAUAUGGACAGCUUUUCUAGUUUUGAACAUGUAUGAACACAUUCGAACAUGUUCCCACCUCAGAUUUUCUGUCUUGCUGUUCUCUCAGUCUGGAGCGCUCUCCUCUGGACACACACUGGUUUGUUCCCUUACUUCUUUGGGAUGGGUGCUUAAAUAUCUUUGUAUCAUUAAUGUUUUCCAUGAGCAUCCUCUUUAUCAGCAAGGACCCUACUGGUUGGUCAGGAUGUCAUGUCUGAAGUCUCCCUACUCUGGUUUUUUUUUUUUUUUUUUUUUUUUUUUUUUUUUUUUUUUAAGCAUGUGUGUUUUACUAUUCCCUAUGGCAUAAUAUGGCUUUAUCUAUUCUCUUUCUCCCUCCAUUAGGAGGUAAGCGCCAGGAGGGAUUUUAAUUAAAGUGAUCACUGCUGUGUUUCCCUGUGUGGAAUAGUUCUUAGCACAUAGUAAGUGCUCAAAUGUUUACCGAAUGAAUUUUUAAAGGAAGGAACUCUGAUUCAUCUCAGGAUGUCAAAAGGAUUUUCCUUUUAAAGUUAUCUGUAAAACUGGUUUUGGAGAAUGAGAGUGACUCUGAAGGAGGAAGAAAGGGUAUUCCAAGCAUAGGAAAAGGCAGACAACAGGGCAAGGAGCCACUAGAUUUCCACCAGUGUUAAAAGUAUAAUUAUCUUCUAUAGUAAUUAGUAUCUAAAUGGAUUAAAGUUAUAUCAGGGAUACUGAGCCUGGCCUCCAAAAGAACUUGUAAAUUAUUUCAUGUGCAUGUCUUAUCUUCACAACUUAGAAAGGAAAAUUCUUUCCAUUACCAGUGGAAAGAAGGAGAACAUGGAAUAUGAAUAGACCGCAGCCUAUCCAAGACAUUGGAGAUACAAUGGUACUUAUAGAAUGAAUGAAAGCACUAAACAUGGACAUGCAUGUUCCUAGUAUUGUGAUUUUGGUACAUUAGAACCUUAGAGGGAUGAGGACUAUAACUCGGGAAAAGCUUUCCUAUUGUCUGGGCAAAAUACUUGUUUAGGUUCUGGCUCAGUGUUACUGUUUUCAAAUUUCAGAAGAAAUUUUGGCAACAGUUCUUUCUGCUUUAGGCUGACUUUCCUUAUAAAUUUCAUCGACAUUCAAAUGUAGAGAACAGUAGAAUAUGUCAGCAACUCUUACAGUAGAUAAAGGAGAGGGAACCUUUGAAAAGCAGUCACUCCAGACUAGUAAUAGGCACAAUAUUAGAUACAUAGAAUCAUAAAAACAUAGUAUGGCAUGAUCAUUUCCUUAUAAUUAAAUGAGAGGAGUAAAAUGAACCAUAAUUGAAUCAAACCAGCACAUAUUGUGGGUAUACCAAAUUCAAGCACAUAGAU